AAAAAAAUGGGUUAACCCUAGCUGGACCUGGCACCCAGACCACUUCAUUAAGCUGAAGUGGUCUGGGUGCCUAGAGUGGUCCUUUAAGAGAAAUUAAAUUUUUCUUGGUCCCAAUAUUAAUUACACACACAUCUCAUCUGGGGUGCUGGGGGGUUAAGUGUCCAUUAUGUUUCAGUGACACAGAGGACAAUAAUUCAAGGCAAAUAAUGCAAAGAUAUUAUUUAGCCAUAUUUAAAUUCUAUAAUUUUGCCUUAAAAAGGUUACAGACUAUUAU
Pelobates cultripes (western spadefoot toad) is the source of this 274-nucleotide non-coding RNA. The record is from the annotation of a GenBank genome assembly. NCBI's taxonomy places the organism in Eukaryota, Metazoa, Chordata, Amphibia, Anura, Pelobatidae.